Molecule: unclassified non-coding RNA, 75 nt
Filed under: Bradyrhizobium erythrophlei
Lineage: Bacteria; Pseudomonadati; Pseudomonadota; Alphaproteobacteria; Hyphomicrobiales; Nitrobacteraceae
Source: RNAcentral
ACAAGCCGGAUGCGGGAAAUCCGCCUGUCCGGUUCGAUGAGCGGGGUGUGAAAACGGGGCCACGGUCGAACCAGU